Nerophis lumbriciformis (worm pipefish) is the source of this 980-nucleotide long non-coding RNA. RefSeq lists it as uncharacterized. Lineage: Eukaryota; Metazoa; Chordata; Actinopteri; Syngnathiformes; Syngnathidae. The record is from RefSeq and is a predicted model, not a curated record.
GUCAGUGCUGGAUUAUUGUAGUGUCUACCUGUCAAUGUCGCUAAUAUUUGUUGAUGUCGUUACAGCUACUACCUGUCGUGCUACUACUUGUCCUUGUACCUGUCGUCGUAGCGGCAGCACUGCUUGAAAAGACAAACACCGCCCUCUAUCUGUGACAGAAUGAACUGCAGGCAUAUGUUGAGCAUCCCAAGUGAACAUGCUUCAAAGCGCCGGCACGGCCUCUCUCGUCCCGCUCGUGCGUCCACCCUCCAUCAUGUCUGCUGUGGCGAAUGAAAGCGAUGCUCGGGGAGGCGGAACACCCGCUGGAAAGCAACAGAUGGAUCUGUGACGCAUGUUGACGCCUGCACAUCACCGAGGAAAGGAAGAGAAGGAGAGCUGCUCUGGUUGGGGACCCUUCACUGACCGGAUGACAAGUCCCAUUUCUUUUCGUUUGUUGAUGUCAUCAAUGUUUGAACCUGACAUCUUCUUGGUCCUUCGAGCCGGAUUCCAACACGUCUGACGAUUGCAGCAGGGUCAGUGAAACCAGAAGACCAUGGCAAACAUCUCCUGAUUGAGGAACUGCUUUUCUUCACUCCGGCUGGAAUCUGAAGAUUGACGGAAAACAGAGGACAAGAGGAAGGAACGCAGAGUUCAUGCAGAAAUGCCUUCGCCUUUUGUGAUGCUGUGAUAAGACGGCGGACAGUGGUGAUGGUGAUGGAGUUUAGACGGUUGCCCUCGCCAAGCUAUUUCCAGCCUGUGUGAUCUAUGACACUCAGGUCUCUGAUGGAUGAGCCUCAGAUGCUGUCAUCUCUCUAAACGCCUUCACCAUCUCUCAUCUCCUCUUUAAAAUUCCUUUCCUCUUUCCCCCUCCCAAUGACUGUGUGGAUUUUUUUUGCAUCUCUUACAUAACGUCACUCGGGGGACGGAGACCCUUCAAUCCAUACUUCAGACACUGGGGCUUCUCUAGCGGCGCCGAUGUGAGCCAGAUUAGCGACGACGAC